Molecule: RNA transcript, 1229 nt
Organism: Solanum stenotomum
Lineage: Eukaryota; Viridiplantae; Streptophyta; Magnoliopsida; Solanales; Solanaceae
Gene name: L-ascorbate peroxidase 1, cytosolic-like
Exons: 9
Source: RefSeq, a predicted model, not a curated record
UUUUGUUUCAUUUCAUUUCAGUGCUUGUGGUCUGUUUGUGCUGUACACAUUCUCUCUCUAGGAUUUAUCAUCUUUGCCUUUCUCUCUCUUCAGAUCAAUUACUAUGGAUAAGUCCUAUCCCACCGUGAGCGAGGAGUACCUCAAGGCUGUUGACAAAUGUAAAAGGAAACUCAGAGCACUCAUUGCUGAGAAGAAUUGUGCUCCUAUUAUGCUCCGUCUUGCAUGGCACUCUGCUGGUACCUAUGAUGUGUGUUCCAAGACUGGUGGUCCCUUUGGUACCAUGAGGUUCAAAGCUGAGCAAGCUCAUGGUGCAAACAAUGGUCUUGACAUUGCUCUCAGACUCUUGGAGCCCAUUAGGGAGCAGUUUCCCACCCUCUCCCAUGCUGAUUUCCACCAAUUGGCUGGUGUUGUUGCUGUUGAAGUUACUGGAGGACCUGAUGUUCCUUUUCACCCUGGCAGAGAGGACAAGCCAGAACCACCUAUUGAAGGUCGCUUGCCUGAUGCCACCAAGGGCUAUAACCACUUGAGGGACGUGUUUGUGAAACAAAUGGGUCUUUCUGAUAAGGAUAUUGUUGCACUCUCUGGUGCCCAUACCUUGGGAAGGUGCCACAAGGAGCGUUCUGGUUUUGAGGGACCUUGGACCGCCAAUCCCCUUAUCUUUGACAACUCAUACUUUACGGAGCUUUUGAGUGGGGAAAAAGAAGGGCUCUUACAGUUGCCAUCAAACAAGGCUCUCCUCUGUGAUCCUGCUUUCCGCCCCCUUGUUGAGAAAUAUGUUGCGAUUAGUAUAAUACUAUUCAUCUAAGUUGUAAAAUGCUGGCUGUGUUGUUGACUGAUUGGAACAACUCUUUGCUUAUGUCAGGAUGAAGAUGCCUUCUUCGCUGACUAUGCUAAGGCUCACUUGACACUCUCUGAAUUGGGAUUUGCUGAAGCUUAAAAUGGUGACGGGAAGAGUUGGGAGAGUAGUGGCAUAUUUUACUAUUGUUUCAAUUCUGAAAAGCUCGCUGGAGUUGUUGGGGGAUAAUUUUAGGCUUUUUAAUAAGUUCCAUUUUCCUUUUUGAUAAUUUUCCAUUUGGUACUUUUUUUUUCUUAACUUGCUCUACUUUUAGGAAAGAAAUGAAAGAUGAGUUAUGCGCUCCAAAUUGUUAUAUUUACAGUGCAGCAAAAAUGUUAUAUUUACAGUGCUUGAUGUUUACCCCUAACUCUUUAUAUAAAUCAAUAAGCGAAGU